CCUACGGGAUGCAGCAGUGGGGAAUAUUGGACAAUGGGGGAAACCCUGAUCCAGCCAUGCCGCGUGAGUGAUGAAGGCCUUAGGGUUGUAAAGCUCUUUCGCUGGGGAAGAUAAUGACGGUACCCAGUAAAGAAGCCCCGGCUAACUUCGUGCCAGCAGCCGCGGUAAUACGAAGGGGGCUAGCGUUGUUCGGAAUUACUGGGCGUAAAGCGCACGUAGGCGGGUCGUUAAGUUAGAGGUGAAAUCCCGGAGCUCAACUCCGGAACUGCCUUUGAUACUGGCGGCCUUGAGUUCGAGAGAGGUGAGUGGAAUUCCGAGUGUAGAGGUGAAAUUCGUAGAUAUUCGGAGGAACACCAGUGGCGAAGGCGGCUCACUGGCUCGAUACUGACGCUGAGGUGCGAAAGCGUGGGGAGCAAACAGGAUUAGAUACCCCAGUAGUC
Molecule: ribosomal RNA, 440 nt
Filed under: uncultured bacterium
Lineage: Bacteria
Description: bacterial SSU rRNA
Rfam family: Bacterial small subunit ribosomal RNA
Source: RNAcentral